GCGCUCGUAGCUCAAUUGGAUAGAGCAUCUCGCUACGGACGAGAAGGUUUGGGGUUCGAGUCCCUACGAGCGCG
Molecule: transfer RNA, 74 nt
Filed under: Verrucomicrobiales bacterium
Lineage: Bacteria; Pseudomonadati; Verrucomicrobiota; Verrucomicrobiia; Verrucomicrobiales
Also listed under: 3 other names
Description: tRNA-Arg
Rfam family: tRNA
About the family: Transfer RNA (tRNA) molecules are approximately 80 nucleotides in length. Their secondary structure includes four short double-helical elements and three loops (D, anti-codon, and T loops).
Source: RNAcentral